Molecule: ribosomal RNA, 507 nt
Filed under: uncultured bacterium
Lineage: Bacteria
Description: bacterial SSU rRNA
Rfam family: Bacterial small subunit ribosomal RNA
Source: RNAcentral
AUUGAACGCUGGCGGCAGGCCUAACACAUGCAAGUCGAGCGGUAGCACAGGGAGCUUGCUCCUGGGUGACGAGCGGCGGACGGGUGAGUAAUGUCUGGGAAACUGCCUGAUGGAGGGGGAUAACUACUGGAAACGGUAGCUAAUACCGCAUAACGUCUUCGGACCAAAGAGGGGGACCUUCGGGCCUCUUGCCCUCCGAUGUGCCCAGAUGGGAUUAGCUAGUAGGUGAGGUAAUGGCUCACCUAGGCGACGAUCCCUAGCUGGUCUGAGAGGAUGACCAGCCACACUGGAACUGAGACACGGUCCAGACUCCUACGGGAGGCAGCAGUGGGGAAUAUUGCACAAUGGGCGCAAGCCUGAUGCAGCCAUGCCGCGUGUAUGAAGAAGGCCUUCGGGUUGUAAAGUACUUUCAGCGAGGAGGAAGGCAUUGUGGUUAAUAACCACAGUGAUUGACGUUACUCGCAGAAGAAGCACCGGCUAACUCCGUGCCAGCCGCCGCAGUAACAC